Molecule: non-coding RNA, 120 nt
Organism: Triticum aestivum (bread wheat)
Lineage: Eukaryota; Viridiplantae; Streptophyta; Magnoliopsida; Poales; Poaceae
Source: Rfam
AUCAUACUCCCUCCGUCCAAAAAUACUUGUCGCAGAAAUGCUUGGAUGUAUCUAAGAACUAAAUUACAUCUAGAUACAUCCAUUCCUCCGACAAGUAUUUCCGGACGGAGGGAGUAGCAU